This 455-nucleotide ribosomal RNA is filed under the name uncultured bacterium. RNAcentral describes it as "bacterial SSU rRNA". It matches the Rfam family "Bacterial small subunit ribosomal RNA", at positions 335 to 783 of the family's 1533-position model. The record is from RNAcentral.
ACUCCUACGGGAGGCAGCAGUAGGGAAUCUUCCACAAUGGGCGCAAGCCUGAUGGAGCAACACCGCGUGAGUGAAGAAGGGUUUCGGCUCGUAAAGCUCUGUUGUUAAAGAAGAACACGUAUGAGAGUAACUGUUCAUACGUUGACGGUAUUUAACCAGAAGUCACGGCUAACUACGUGCCAGCAGCCGCGGUAAUACGUAGGUGGCAAGCGUUAUCCGGAUUUAUUGGGCGUAAAGAGAGUGCAGGCGGUUUUCUAAGUCUGAUGUGAAAGCCUUCGGCUUAACCGGAGAAGUGCAUCGGAAACUGGAUAACUUGAGUGCAGAAGAGGGUAGUGGAACUCCAUGUGUAGCGGUGGAAUGCGUAGAUAUAUGGAAGAACACCAGUGGCGAAGGCGGCUACCUGGUCUGCAACUGACGCUGAGACUCGAAAGCAUGGGUAGCGAACAGGAUUAGAU